This is a long non-coding RNA of Epinephelus moara (kelp grouper), 499 nucleotides long. RefSeq lists it as uncharacterized. The transcript has 5 exons. The record is from RefSeq and is a predicted model, not a curated record. NCBI's taxonomy places the organism in Eukaryota, Metazoa, Chordata, Actinopteri, Perciformes, Serranidae.
GCCAGAUCCCACCAGGAGCUUUCAACAUGACAUUACAAGGUCUUCACUGGAUCAGCUGUACUAAGAAAAACAAAUGACCUCCUCCUAGCUGCUGACACGGAUUCAAGGAAUGAGUGGGGGUCUCUGGUUCUGCUUUAAUCUGGUUCUCGUCAACGGAGCCCUGAUUGUCUCUGUUGUCACAAACUCAAACAAGCUGCUUCAACCCAGGACCGUUAUACCUGACUGGGGCGGUCGAUUGGCCCUGUGUAAAUGGAAUGCGUUUACAGGAUGUGAGGGGGCCAAAGUGCUGGAUCAGUGAAAACCGAGAAGACCCGCAUCUCACCCCUGCCUGCCUGCCUGGACAUCCUCAGCCAGCGAACACAAGACGUCUCCUUCCGCUGAAAACAGCACCUCAACCAAACUACAACAAAAGGAAAUAUGGGAACCUCUCAGACUCUGACAAUUACAUAACAGUGUGGACUAUAAUAAUCUUCUCCAUGCGCGUAAUGGCUCAUCCCAU